AUCCUCCAAGGCUAAAUACUACUGACUGACCGAUAGUGAACCAGUACCGUGAGGGAAAGGCGAAAAGAACCCCUGUGAGGGGAGUGAAAUAGAACCUGAAACCGUGUACGUACAAGCAGUAGGAGCAGGCUUUGUCCUGUGACUGCGUACCUUUUGUAUAAUGGGUCAGCGACUUAUAUUCAGUGGCAAGGUUAACCAUCUAGGGGAGCCGUAG
RNAcentral lists this ribosomal RNA (214 nucleotides) under Vibrio parahaemolyticus. RNAcentral describes it as "partial 23S ribosomal RNA". It matches the Rfam family "Bacterial large subunit ribosomal RNA", at positions 455 to 671 of the family's 2925-position model. Lineage: Bacteria; Pseudomonadati; Pseudomonadota; Gammaproteobacteria; Vibrionales; Vibrionaceae. The record is from RNAcentral.